AGAGUUUGAUCCUGGCUCAGGACGAACGCUGGCGGCGUGCUUAACACAUGCAAGUCGAACGGAAAGGCCCUUCGGGGUACUCGAGUGGCGAACGGGUGAGUAACACGUGGGUGAUCUGCCCUGCACUUUGGGAUAAGCCUGGGAAACUGGGUCUAAUACCGAAUAGGACCACGCGCUUCAUGGUGUGUGGUGGAAAGCUUUUGCGGUGUGGGAUGGGCCCGCGGCCUAUCAGCUUGUUGGUGGGGUAAUGGCCUACCAAGGCGACGACGGGUAGCCGGCCUGAGAGGGUGACCGGCCACACUGGGACUGAGAUACGGCCCAGACUCCUACGGGAGGCAGCAGUGGGGAAUAUUGCACAAUGGGCGCAAGCCUGAUGCAGCGACGCCGCGUGAGGGAUGACGGCCUUCGGGUUGUAAACCUCUUUCAAUAGGGACGAAGCGCAAGUGACGGUACCUAUAGAAGAAGCACCGGCCAACUACGUG
This 482-nucleotide ribosomal RNA is filed under the name uncultured Mycobacterium sp. RNAcentral's name for it is "bacterial SSU rRNA". It matches the Rfam family "Bacterial small subunit ribosomal RNA", at positions 8 to 507 of the family's 1533-position model. Lineage: Bacteria; Bacillati; Actinomycetota; Actinomycetes; Mycobacteriales; Mycobacteriaceae. The record is from RNAcentral.